GCAGAGGCGUCGCAGAGCAGCGGGCCGGUGGGGGUGGCCGGCGCUGACCACAGCUCACCUGUGAGCUUAAAGCAAGGAGCGGUGUGCAGACUGGGAGAGGCAGAUGUGCACAGGUGGUAAGGGCAGGAGUAGACAGUCGGGAGGGACGGGCUUGGAAAGCUGGUUUGUGCUUUGUCUGCAUUUGCUAAUUACAGAGAGCAGUGCAGGGCGGUUGGGGUCACACGGGAUGUGGGGACUGAAGGUCAGUUUGGGACUUCUUGUCCAAGAUGUUCACGAACCAAGUGAAUGCGUGUGUCUCCUCUCCUUCCCCAGAGCCUUGACACGACAGUGAAUUUAUCUUGUUUAUGUGUACAGAUCAGUGUCCGGGAGGGCCAGGAAGAGGACUAAUAGACAGAGCCGGGCUGUCCGGAAUACCAGUGAGAGGGCCCUGCCCAGACCCCGGACUGAUUACAUCGGAAUCUCUGGGAUCGUGCCCAGGGGACAGCAUUUCAGCAAUGACCCAGCAGGCCUCAGAAGCAGGCGGCCAUGGAGAAAGCAGACGCUCAGAGAGGUUCCCUCGAUCACAGAUGGCCGAGCAGAGCUGGGAAUAAACCCGAACCUUGUGAUGUGGACACACGGCCUUUUCCUCCAAACCACGACGCCUCCUUUGUCAUAACGAUGACCAUGAGUCAUCAAGAAAAGAAAAGUGUCUUCCAGAACCGGGCACCCAUUCCGCUCUGUUGGUAUUUGCAACGGUGAUGGGUAUGUCGCCUGUUUCUACUGUAAUAAGCGUGCUGCUGCUGCACUUGGCCCACAAUGCUUAGCGCGAUCCCAUCUGAGAAAU
Molecule: long non-coding RNA, 823 nt
Organism: Hipposideros armiger (great roundleaf bat)
Lineage: Eukaryota; Metazoa; Chordata; Mammalia; Chiroptera; Hipposideridae
Exons: 3
Source: RefSeq, a predicted model, not a curated record